GGAGCCUGCCCAUCUCUCUCUAGAAAGCCUCAUUAUAAAAAGAGCAAUAUCCCAUGAAGAAACUUACCAUGUUAGUCUCUGAAAUGCUGUCAAUGCUUUCAACAUGGACAUCUAUACCUACUGGCACUGGAGACCCUUAAGAAAGAAGAAUGGUUAAUAUGCUGAGGAAUGCAUUAUAAUCAUUUUAAAACCAUUUAAAACAGAGAGAUUAAUUCUCUUGGACAGCAACUGAAUUACUGUUAAAGUUUUUUUAAACAACAAAUUUCUCCAUUAUUCAUUGAAUCAGUUAUUAUAUACUCAAUUAUUAUAAUAAAGGCACAUGUGUAAAUAAAUGGUAUUCUAAUAAUCAUUACUCAUUUGCUUGGGAUCAUGCCAAUAAUUUCCUCCUCUAGUAUAAGAGUGGUGCCUCCAGUUUUCUUUUUUUUUUUUUUUUAGUUUUUUAUUCUUUUUACCUACUAGUGAUUUAAAAAGGAAAAGUGUUUUGAAAACAUGUCUUAAGAGUAUGUAGAAUUAUGUACUCUUAAGUACAAAUAUGGUAAUGGUCAUAUCUCAUAGUCAGGGAGUGUCAUAGAAUCCUUGACGUGGGCAAUGUUGGGACCUUUUCUCUGGUGUCAAAAAUAUCAGCCUUUUCCAUUUGUGCUGUGGUUGGUGGAGUAGAGGAACACAGAGAAAAUUUUAUUGAGACUAAAAGUACAGUGCCACACAGGGACAACACAGAUCAGAUUCCGAAGUGUCCCUUUGCAGAUCAGCAGCAACCACAGGCUGCAUUUGUGAAGAAGCAAAUAUCCUUAGAAAUCCAUUUAAUGAGAAAAUACUGAGAGUAGAAUUGGAGCAAUUUCAGACAGAGCACUGCUGACACUUGUACAGUUGAGUCACCCAGAAUCAGGUUCAUGGGCCCAGAAAACCUGAAUGACAACCAACAGAAUCCAGACUAGACUGACAUUUCCUAGUUACACCUAACAAACGAUUUCACCACUUCCAGUGUGAGUCGAAAUUGAUGUUAGUAACAUCAACAUUUAGUUUUGCGAUGGAAAUUUUAUGUACAUAUGUGUUAAAAUAAUUUAUAUAUUUAUAUAUGUAGUCUUUUAUAUGUUCUCUUUCCAUAUAAGCCAUUCUCGAUUAAACCUUAUUGUCUCUAUAGUCCUGAGUUUUAAAAAAUGUUUUCAAUUAUGGUUGAGAAAAUAUAAAUCCUGCCUAAAUGGAUCCAAGCUGGUUGUUUUAAUCGAGAUUCAAAGAUUUAGGCCGGGCGUGGUGGCUCACUCCUGUUAUCCCAGCACUUUGGCAGGCCGAGGUGGACGGAUCACUUGAGGACAGGAGUUUGAGACCAGCUUCACCAACAUGGUGAAACCCCGUCUCUACUAAAAAUACAAAAAUUAGCCAGGCGUGAUGGUGUGUGCUUGUAAUUCCAGCUACUCGGAAGACUGACGCAUGAGAAUUGCUUGAAUGCAGGAGGCAGGGGCUGCAGUGAGCUGAGAUGGCGCCCCUGCACUCCAGUCUGGGUGACAGAGCUAGACUCUCUCUCAAAAAAAAAAAGAAAAAGAAAAAAGAAAAGAAAAGAAAGGAAAACAAAAGAAAAGAAGAUAAAAGAAACAAAGAAAGAUUUAGAGGAGUCAAGUCUGAAAAGCUUCCUUAAUGAGGCUGAGGCUACGUAAUGCCUGGAUGUGCUACAUGGGACAGGCGUGCCUAUAAUUCGACAGCCCUUUAAAUGCAUAAUACUAUAGAAACCCAAGUCUGAUUUCCCCAAGGAAGGCAGCCAUGAGAACAGAGAAAUGGGUCACUGGUAUAAGAAGCUGUUCUGACCAAGACAGGCAAGAGAAGGUUAAGGGGUGUCUUUCACAGAGCUACCAGACUGACACUUCUGACUGAAUUUAUGAAGAUUUUUCGGCUCAAACUGACUAAUCACACAAGCCAUUUGGACACCAUUUCACCCCAGUAUAUGAUUGUCAGAAAAAUUUCUUAAUCAUGGGAUGAUUUGCCGCCUGCCACUAAGUAGCAC
Molecule: long non-coding RNA, 1996 nt
Filed under: Homo sapiens (human)
Lineage: Eukaryota; Metazoa; Chordata; Mammalia; Primates; Hominidae
Description: HSALNT0057423
Source: RNAcentral